Molecule: long non-coding RNA, 512 nt
Organism: Carcharodon carcharias (great white shark)
Lineage: Eukaryota; Metazoa; Chordata; Chondrichthyes; Lamniformes; Lamnidae
Exons: 3
Source: RefSeq, a predicted model, not a curated record
AUACCUCUCUGUGUGGGGAAGGGGGCCUUUGGACACUUGUCCCAGUUCCUCCAUCCGAAAAUGGGUGAAUCGGACCAGACCAGGUUUCAUGUUAAUCUUAAGAAUGGCAUAUUUGUGGACUUCCUAAACACGUUCCUCAGCUUACCGGUAUUUGGACAGAUUCCGAUCUACAUUUUAAAAGACAGUCAAUGGGAACUCCAGCCUAACCUGCCGUCCAAUAUGGUGAGCUCAAGGGAUUGAACCAUAGGAUACUGAUAGGAUCAAACAGUGCACAGCCUGUACGUCCCCCUGCACUGCACCCAUUCCCUCUGCCCAGAUUUGACCUAAAUGAUGGAACAUUUUGUUGGGGGUGUGGAGGGGGAGGGCACAGGGAAGAUCCUGGACCACUGUCUUGUUCAAAUGCUCUGUCAUUGAUUUUGUGAAUCUGUUUACGAUUUGAAUGCUCACUGUGCUUGAUUGGUUAAGCCUGGAUGUGGACUCAGAGAAAAGUAAACAAAGCUGUAGAAAGAGCU